Molecule: long non-coding RNA, 245 nt
Organism: Homalodisca vitripennis (glassy-winged sharpshooter)
Lineage: Eukaryota; Metazoa; Arthropoda; Insecta; Hemiptera; Cicadellidae
Exons: 2
Source: RefSeq, a predicted model, not a curated record
AUGAGAUUGAAGAGGAAGUUACAGCUCAAGAUAACGCUGAAGAAAGUAUUGAUGAAGAAGUAACAUGCCUAGGGCUAGGGCAUCAACAAGAAAAUUGUGCCAAACCUCCAACAAGUCCUACGUCAAGCAGUGAACUGAUCGGCGUAAAUGAUCAAGUGGAAUGUAGCCGGACGAAUAAAAUUAAUGAAACUUGUUUAAACACCGGAGAACCCCAUUUUCCAGACCAGAUCAUCGAUCCAGAGGUG